RNAcentral lists this ribosomal RNA (460 nucleotides) under uncultured bacterium. RNAcentral describes it as "partial 16S ribosomal RNA". It matches the Rfam family "Bacterial small subunit ribosomal RNA", at positions 338 to 795 of the family's 1533-position model. The record is from RNAcentral.
CCUACGGGUGGCAGCAGUGAGGAAUAUUGGUCAAUGGACGAGAGUCUGAACCAGCCAAGUAGCGUGAAGGAUGACUGCCCUAUGGGUUGUAAACUUCUUUUAUAUGGGAAUAAAAUGUUCCACGUGUGGGAUUUUGUAUGUACCAUAUGAAUAAGGAUCGGCUAACUCCGUGCCAGCAGCCGCGGUAAUACGGAGGAGCCGAGCGUUAUCCGGAUUUAUUGGGUUUAAAGGGAGCGUAGGUGGAUUGUUAAGUCAUUUGUGAAAGUUUGCGGCUCAACCGUAAAAUUGCAGUUGAAACUGGCAGUCUUGAGUACAGUAGAGGUGGGCGGAAUUCGUGGUGUAGCGGUGAAAUGCUUAGAUAUCACGAAGAACUCCGAUUGCGAAGGCAGUUCACUGGACUGCAACUGACACUGAGGCUCGAAAGUGUGGGUAUCAAACAGGAUUAGAUACCCGGGUAGUC